Molecule: RNA transcript, 4243 nt
Organism: Sebastes umbrosus (honeycomb rockfish)
Lineage: Eukaryota; Metazoa; Chordata; Actinopteri; Perciformes; Sebastidae
Gene: adgrg4a
Gene name: adhesion G protein-coupled receptor G4a
Exons: 30
Source: RefSeq, a predicted model, not a curated record
CAGACUCAUGGCUCAGACAGCUUCUGAACUGACAUUGAUUUCUCACAAAAUAGCUUAAACUUCAGAUUUGAAGGAGAUGACCGUGAUGACCACUUGACUGACAUCGAAAGCGUUUUUGUUUGCUGUCAUGAACUCCGUCAGAAGCCUGUCUUCUCUAACUCUAAUCUGUCUGUGUCUGCAGCUUCUGGGUUCAACUACCUCUGCCAGUACCAGCCUGUGGGGUAAGAAGCUGCCGUUCAAGAGUCGUCCGUGUAUGUGGCAGCUACAACCAGAUGUUGUGGUACCAGCCCUGGAGGAGCUGAGUGUAUGCAUGCUUUUACGUCGUACCUAUGAAACACAAUGGACAGGUUUUGACUACAAAGCACCAGGGGGAAUCCGCACAGAGCUGGGACUCAGGGGCACAAAAACACAGCUGACAGCGUGGCUUUUUGGAGAAGAACACAGCCUGAAGUGGGAUUUGAAAUUACAUGAAUGGUACUCUUUCUGUGUCACCUGGUCCGGCCCAGCUCGCAGGCUGCGGAUCUACAUUAAUGGAACCAGUCAGCUUAAGGCCCCCCUGAGCUCCGUGACCCGACCACUGCAACUGGCCCCAAACGGCACUCUCACUCUGGGGGUGUCUCAUUAUGUAAACACAGAAGGCGAGCUGCAGCCGCAGACUGGGACGAAUCUGCUUGGUGAGAUUGGUCUGUUCAGGAUGUGGGCCAGAGAGUGGAGCGCUGAAGAGCUGAUGGAGCAGAGCUGUGCAGAUGGAGACGUGGUGAGGUGGGACCUGCAGCAGUGGAAACACAACCUCCACUGUCCACCUGAGCCUGACAAUGACCUACGUUGUGCAUGGUCACUCUACAAAAUCAAAAUGUGGACAUUCAUAGUUCCCGCUACGGAGCCUGGAAAAUGUUCAGUGUCACUGGAGGAAGUGACAAGAAACUGGAUGGAAAACAUUUUCCCUCACAACAUUUCCGUCCAUAACAUCCAUGUGUCAUCGCCAAGCCGCUCCUGCCAUGUGGUUAAUAAUUCUGCUGCUCAACCACCUCAGGGAUCAAGAGCAUUGUCAAACUCCACCUGUGACAAGUGUUUCAACUGUGAAGUCUAUGUGAACGUGGAUCCUGCUGCUAACGUAGAAGUGGUUCAGGCGAGAAUCGCCUCGUUGCUGACUUCCACCUUCUCUUACGACUUCCUCAACCUGACAGCUGACCCGAACAGCAUCAGCAUACUACCUGUGGAGUUACUCCCUCCAGUGUCAGAGCCACUGCCAACUGUCAGCACCGGUGCACCUUCAUCAGAAACAGGUCCGACUCAAAGUCAUGUAGCUCGACCCGCUAACAUGUCAACGACAGGAGAUCCUCUAGAAGUCAACGAGACGGCCAUUCGACCAGACACGUUCUUCAGAGUUAAUCUGACCUUAAGUAUGACUGGCAGCCCGACAAAACCAGAGGAGAUUAUUGAGAAAUGGGUGAAAGAACAGCUAGAGGUGAAUCACACCAUGAUUGUGCUGAAUCUUCUCAUAAAGGAGAACGCUGGCAGGAACAUGGAGCAGCACAAUGGACUGAUGAUUUCGCCCAGCCAACAAAAACAAUAUUGCUGCACCUUCCAUGUUCAAGAAUACAAUGUAAACAGUGCGGCAGAAACUCAAACUGUUAUUAAAGCUGCCUUGACAUCAAAGUAUGAAAAUAACUCCAUUAUUAUUCAACCUACGGAGGUGGCGAUCAAGCACAUUGUGCCAGAAAACUGUUUAGAAGAAACUACUUCAACAGUCUAUGGAUUAUACAUUUGGCCUGAAGCAUUUCCACAAGUCAACCAAGAAAUGGGAUGCAGAAAACCCAAAUCAGAGAGAGCCUUCAGGCUUUGUAAGUUAGACAUUGAAACUGACGCGACCAGCUGGGCUAAUCCUGAUAUGAAGAACUGCAAACCGUUUAUAACCAUAUCAGACCUCGACAACAUCACUGUCGCUACCGGUAACGCGGCUGAGGUGGUGGACAUGAUUCAGGACCUUGUGGAUGCUCAGUUAGGUAGCAGUGCAGAGCUAUCUUCCUCCGAGCUGGACACGGUGGUGGAGAAGCUCAGAGAAGUGGUUGAUAUCAGCAGCAUCAAACCUGCUGUUGGUGCCGACAUCGUCAAUAUUGUUGCAGAUAUCCUGAUUUCCAAAACUGACAUCACGCCAGUGGCCAGCAUUGUCCUUAAUCUGACAGAUCAAAUGGGGAACAAUAUGGAUUUCCAAGAUGAAUAUACUGUCAGUAUAACAGCACCCUCUCUGGCCUUGUCCAUGAUCAACGUAGAUAGAAAUGAUUUCAGUGGCCUCACCUUUGGUGUGUCCUCCAUUUCUUCAACCAUGAAUCCAGAGAUUUUUGUCAGCCAGAGCUUUGAGAGUCAACCGUUCCCUGACACCAAUGCAACGAUCUCUUUGCCCUACGAAAUCCACAACUAUUUCCCUCCCGGAGAAAGAAAGAAAACUCGAGUCCAGUUUCAGUUCUAUGGAACAAAUGAACUUUUUCCGGAACCACACUCCAAUGCAACACAGAGCAGCUGGAAAUUGAAUUCCUAUAUAGUAUCUGCCAACAUCAAUAACAGUGAUGUCAGCAACCUAAGGGAUCGAGUGGUGGUGACCCUCAGCCACCACACACCCAAACAGUCAGAAGACAAAGUACAAUGUGCGUUUUGGGAUUUCCAGAAAAACGGUGGGCAGGGUGGUUGGAACAGCAAUGGUUGUGACACCCUGAGUAUUUCUGCGUAUCAGACAAGCUGUCUCUGUGAUCAUCUCACACAUUUCGCUGUACUCCUGGAUGUAUCCAGAACGCCCAUCAGUGAAGCUGACAGCCAGAUUCUGACAAUGAUCUCAUAUCUUGGUUGUGGUAUAUCCUCCAUCUUUCUGGGCAUCACUCUUCUCACCUACCUUGCUUUCGAGAAGCUGCGUCGAGACUACCCAUCUAAAAUACUCAUCAACUUCUCAGCUGCCCUACUGGGGUUGAGCAUGCUCUUCCUGCUGGGCUCCUGGCUCUCGUCCUUCUCCAACUACAGUCUGUGCAUUGCCACCGCUGCAACGAUGCACUACUUCCUGCUGGCCUCUUUCACCUGGAUGGGCCUGGAGGCCGUGCAUAUGUACCUCGCUCUGGUCAAGGUCUUCAACAUCUACGUUCCCUCCUACAUCCUCAAGUUCUGUGCUGUAGGAUGGGGUGUUCCUCUGGUCAUAGUCAGCCUGGUGCUGGCCAUAGAUAAAGAUGCGUACGGCAGCAAUGUGUCUGAAGAGUCGACUCUGGCGUUUCAGUCCGCUGAAUUCUGCUGGAUUCAGAAUGACGUCUUCUUCUACGUAACGGUGGUGGCGUUUAUCCUUCUGAUCCUUCUGUGCAACAUCUUUGUAUUCAUCGUGGUUCUGAUCCAGAUCAGACAAAUGAAGGCCAAUAAACGGUCAACAAACAGCAGCAGUGCUCUUUAUGACUUGAGGGCGGUGGCCAGUCUCACCGUCCUGUUGGGCCUGACGUGGUUAAUGGGCUUUUUUUCAUUUGGGCCGGGCAGAGUGGUCCUGCUGUACCUGUUUACCAUCGCCAACACCUUUCAGGGGUUUUUUGUCUUUUUGUUCCACUGUUUGAUGAAAGAAAAUGUGAGGAAACAGUGGAGAAUCCACUUGUGCUGCGGUCGUUUCAGACUCAGUGAUUACUCAGACUGGAGCCGCACUGUGACAGUGGGCGGUCGCUGCAAAAAGAACCAUCUUGUUAACUCUGACUCAGUCGCUUCUGACAACACUUCCACCAUCAGGAAGGUCUCCGACUCCUCAACAGGAUCAGCACCAAACCACCACCAGGGGGCAUGAGCAGGCCUCUGUAUGUGCCCUUCAGUAUACAGUAGCUCUAUAGCCUUCAAGAUCCACUGUGCAGAAACAAACACUGAUAGCAGAAAAUAGAACAGCUCCAUGUCUGUAAUGGGCAGGGAAAGAUCAACUAAACCACACGUUCAGCAAGAUACAAUGGGUACAUGGACACUCCUGCACAUUAAUUAGCCAUAAUAAUAAUAAUAAUAAUAAUAAUAAUAAUAAUAAGGUUACAGUCAGAACAGUAAGUUCAAAGUAAAGUAAAGGUUACAGUCAGUUCAAAGUACAGUAAAGUGCACAUUGUAUGCAAGCAUACAUGUUUUGUGUUUGUAAAACUUUUAAUAGUAAUGAGUGAAGUAAAUGUUGCACAGGAAGCAGUUAUAAGAGUUUUCCAUUUAAAUGUAAUGUGAAUGUAAUGGAAAGGACAGUAUCUGUAACCAAGAA